RNAcentral lists this ribosomal RNA (366 nucleotides) under uncultured eukaryote. Its description in RNAcentral is "partial 18S ribosomal RNA". It matches the Rfam family "Eukaryotic small subunit ribosomal RNA", at positions 592 to 975 of the family's 1831-position model. The record is from RNAcentral.
CAAUAGCGUAUAUUUAAGUUGUUGCAGUUAAAAAGCUCGUAGUUGAAUUUCUGGCUAGUUCUGUUCUCGGCAUCUCGUCGGCUCAGGGCUUAGUCAUCCGUAGGGGAAGCCUGUACGUCCUUCAGUGGUCGGCAGGGGGAACCUACAUUUUACUGUGAAAAAAUUAGAGUGCUUCAGGCAGGCAAUCGCUUGAAUACUCCAGCAUGGAAUAAUGGAAUAGGACUUUGGCCUAUUUGUUGGUUUGAGGUCAGAGUAAUGAUUAAUAGGGACAGUUGGGGGCAUUCGUAUUUAAUUGUCAGAGGUGAAAUUCUUGGAUUUAUUAAAGACGAACUUAUGCGAAAGCAUUUGCCAAGGAUGUUUUCAUUA